CGGUUUCGGCUGACACUUACAGAUGGGCCCGCGGCGCAUUAGCUAGUUGGUGAGGUAACGGCUCACCAAGGCGACGAUGCGUAGCCGACCUGAGAGGGUGAUCGGCCACACUGGGACUGAGACACGGCCCAGACUCCUACGGGAGGCAGCAGUAGGGAAUCUUCCACAAUGGACGAAAGUCUGAUGGAGCAACGCCGCGUGAGCGAUGAAGGCCUUCGGGUCGUAAAGCUCUGUUGUUAGGGAAGAACAAGUACCGGAGUAACUGCCGGUACCUUGACGGUACCUAACCAGAAAGCCACGGCUAACUACGUGCCAGCAGCCGCGGUAAUACGUAGGUGGCAAGCGUUGUCCGGAAUUAUUGGGCGUAAAGCGCGCGCAGGCGGUCCUUUAAGUCUGAUGUGAAAGCCCACGGCUCAACCGUGGAGGGUCAUUGGAAACUGGGGGACUUGAGUGCAGAAGAGGAAAGCGGAAUUCCACGUGUAGCGGUGAAAUGCGUAGAGAUGUGGAGGAACACCAGUGGCGAAGGCGGC
Molecule: ribosomal RNA, 530 nt
Filed under: Neobacillus drentensis
Lineage: Bacteria; Bacillati; Bacillota; Bacilli; Caryophanales; Bacillaceae
Description: bacterial SSU rRNA
Rfam family: Bacterial small subunit ribosomal RNA
Source: RNAcentral